UUUCUAGUAUAUAAAGUAAACAAACUGGAAUGUCUAUAGGAAACAUUUAAAAUUGCAAAAAUAUGUGUGUUUAGAAGCAGUUUCGUAGGGGAAAAAAGUCCCCUACGAAACAGUACACAAAUUAUGAAAAUAAUAUCAUUUUAAAGAGUAUUUAAGAUUGCACUUUUUGUUUACAAACAGGUCUAUAAUAGAGGUUUUCAAAAUAACUCUUGAAAAUAAAUUUUAGACUAGUUGAUUUUCCAUUUUUUUUUAGGUCUGAAAGGAACGCUUUUAUUGAAAAACGCCC
RNAcentral lists this long non-coding RNA (286 nucleotides) under Mytilus galloprovincialis (Mediterranean mussel). The record is from RNAcentral. Lineage: Eukaryota; Metazoa; Mollusca; Bivalvia; Mytilida; Mytilidae.